AGUGACUUAGCCUAUGCCAUGGAGUGAGGAAAACGGCAUUUGAGAAAAGUAUUUCAAGCUUUCAGUGUUCUCACAGUUGGUCUCUUGUGGAAUACAACCCGAAUUCUGCCAUAACAGGAUUUGUAAACAUCUGCAGCUGUGAACAUGACUGAAGGGUAAGAAGGUGCGGAAAAAAACAGAGACGAAGAGAGGAGAUAAAUGUUAAGAGAGCAGAGCAGCUCAUUCUUAGCAUCCUGACUUAACCAAAAUGGAGCUCUUCUGAGUACCACAUUGUAGAUACGAAGAAUUUGCAAGAUCAAUAAUGACAAACUUGUUGCAUAACUACUGGAGUCAACAUCCCAGUGAAGGAUCCAAGAAGGCGCUGUGGAGGGAGAAGAGGCAUCAGUGGAGAAAACUAGCCCUGUGUGGAGAAGCCCACAUGCCAGCCACUGACAGGCCAGGUGCCUA
Molecule: long non-coding RNA, 447 nt
Filed under: Chinchilla lanigera (long-tailed chinchilla)
Lineage: Eukaryota; Metazoa; Chordata; Mammalia; Rodentia; Chinchillidae
Description: lncRNA (ENSCLAG00000027935.1)
Source: RNAcentral